RNAcentral lists this ribosomal RNA (235 nucleotides) under uncultured bacterium. Its description in RNAcentral is "partial 16S ribosomal RNA". It matches the Rfam family "Bacterial small subunit ribosomal RNA", at positions 96 to 334 of the family's 1533-position model. The record is from RNAcentral.
CGGCGGACGGGUGAGUAACGCGUAGGAAUCUACCUGGUAGUGGGGGACAACAUGGUGAAAACCAUGCUAACACCGCAUACGCCCUAAGGGGGAAAGCGGGGGAUCUUCGGACCUCGCGCUAUUGGAUGAGCCUGCGUAAGAUUAGCUAGUUGGUGGGGUAAAAGCUCACCAAGGCGACGAUCUUUAGCUGGUCUGAGAGGAUGAUCAGCCACACUGGAACUGAGACACGGUCCAG